This 408-nucleotide ribosomal RNA is filed under the name uncultured bacterium. Its description in RNAcentral is "partial 16S ribosomal RNA". It matches the Rfam family "Bacterial small subunit ribosomal RNA", at positions 28 to 526 of the family's 1533-position model. The record is from RNAcentral.
GACGAACGCUGGCGGCGUGCUUAACACAUGCAAGUCGAACGAAGUGGCGAACGGGUGAGUAACGCGUAAUCAACCUGCCCUUCAGAGGGGGACAACAGUUGGAAACGACUGCUAAUACCGCAUACUGACUGCUGGGAUUGCGGCGGAUUAGCUAGUUGGAGGGGUAACGGCCCACCAAGGCGAUGAUCAGUAACCUGGCUGAGAGGAUGAACGGCCACAUUUGGACUGGGACACGGCCCAGACUCCUACGGGAGGCAUGCGUGGGGAAUCUUUCGCAAUGGACGAAAGUCUGACGGAGCAACGCCGCGUGAGUGAUGACGGCCUUCGGGUUGUAAAGCUCUGUUAAUCGGGACGCGGGACCGGAAGAGAAAGCCACGGCUAACUACGUGCCAGCAGCCGCGGUAAUUC